AUACCAGCACCCCGAGUGGUCGGGACGAUUAUUGGGCCUAAAGCAUCCGUAGCCGGUUCUGCAAGUCUUCCGUUAAAUCCAGCCGCUCAACGGAUGGGCCGCGGAGGAUACUAUAGGACUAGGAGGCGGGAGAGGCAAGCGGUACUCAGGGGGUAGGGGUAAAAUCCUUUGAUCCAUUGAAGACCACCAGUGGCGAAGGCGGCUUGCCAGAACGCGCUCGACGGUGAGGGAUGAAAGCUGGGGGAGCAAACCGGAUUAGAUACCCGGGUAGUCCCAGCUGUAAACGAUGCAGACUCGGUGAUGGGCUAGCCUUGUGCCAGCCCAGUGCCGCAGGGAAGCCGUUAAGUCUGCCGCCUGGGGAGUACGGUCGCAAGACUGAAACUUAAAUGAAUUGGCGGGG
This 400-nucleotide ribosomal RNA is filed under the name uncultured bacterium. RNAcentral describes it as "partial 16S ribosomal RNA". It matches the Rfam family "Archaeal small subunit ribosomal RNA", at positions 473 to 873 of the family's 1478-position model. The record is from RNAcentral.